RNAcentral lists this long non-coding RNA (12630 nucleotides) under Solanum tuberosum (potato). Its description in RNAcentral is "long non-coding RNA (STUB_LNC002968)". The record is from RNAcentral. Lineage: Eukaryota; Viridiplantae; Streptophyta; Magnoliopsida; Solanales; Solanaceae.
UGAAAGAAACCCCAAUCUUUAGCUGCAAAGUGCAACUUAUUAAGCUCAAGAUUCAUGGAGUCAUGAUCGUUAGAGUUGAUCAAUCGUUGCAUAUCAAUUACUGGAACUUGCUUAUAAUUUGAUGUUGCAAUUGAACGGUCUUGAUCAUCACGCACGUAUCGCGAUGGAAUCGUCAUGAGUUUCUUCUUGGCCAGUUCCUGGACAGAAGGAACUUCCAUGUACUUAACUUCUAUUUCUCCCAUAUUUGUUUAACUGCUUAAUUCUAUGGCGUUCCAAUAUUGAAUAAUUUGAUAUUAUAUUAACUCUACCAUCCCUUUCCUUUCACUUGUGUCCACAACUAUUUUAAAAUUAUUGUGUGUGAGGUCAAUAAAUCUGUCAGUAUAAUAAUUGGUGGGCAAAAUAGGACAAACAAAGACCAUAAGCAGAUCUAGAUACCACCAGAGGCAUACUAUAUAUGGUUAUAUCCUUGUUAUAUCAUCAAUAACGUGGGACAACUAAAACAGUUUCAAUUUGUUUGUCUUAUUAGUUUUUUUUUUUUUUUAAUUUAGUCUAUUUAAAAAAGAAUGUACAAUUUUUUAAUAUCAAUUUUCCAUAUGACAUAUUUAAAACUAUAAAAUUCGAAAGUCUUUUUUUAUUUUCUUAAAUUAUGUGACAAGUCAAAAUCAUACCACCGUUAUAUAAGUUACUAGAAACUUAUAAGGACCACCGUUAUAUAACUAUUCAUAUGCAGAUGUCGCUACCCGAAUUGCGUAUAAAUAAACUACACUCAAACUAAACUAUAUACACGGAGUAAUUUACAAAUUAAGGCAAAACAGGAAAUAAGGAGUAAGAAAAUAAAAUUAGAAGUCGACUUAAUAAUUUAGAGUUUAUUUGAGGGUUAUUUAUUAAUUUUAAAUAAAGAAAACUUUUACAUAUUCAAAUGUUUUAAAAAAUAAACAGUCUUAAUUUUUAGUAUUCCAAUCUUAAUACAAUAUCUUACCUAACGUCUUAAGAAUUCAAAUGUAUAUUCAAAUUCAGAUACCUAAAUCUUUACACAUAUGUUAAUAUCAAUCAUUUGAUCAUAAUCAAAGGAUUUACUUACAUAGGUACCAUUAAUACAAGUACUAAUUAAUAUUUUGAAUCAUCUUCUCUGGUGAUUCUCAUGGUGUCCAUAUAUGAUUUUCCUACAAGUUCAUGGUUAAAAAAUCCUUUAUAAUAUUCAGUGACUCCCAUUUUUUCGAAUCUUGGUGGAUUUUGAGCUGUAACAAGUUGUGGCGGAGCCAACUUACACUCAAAGGUACAUUUGAACUCUUUUUGAUAGAAAAUUAUAUUAUUUAUACAUGGUUAAAAUAAUUUCUUAGAUAUAUAUAGUAGAUGUCGAACCUCCUUCGGCUACUUUAUGUGUCUAUUUUUUCAAAUUUUGAACUCCUUAUUGAAAAUUCUGACUCCGCACCUAGUAACAAGGCUACUUGAUGGACCUAAUAUACCAUCCAAUCUUGGACUCUGAAAUGUUGCUACCGAAAUCCUUUCUUUGUCUGAGUUCACCACUGAUCUAUGCUCUAUGCUUUUGUAUAUUUCAUUUGACAAAAUCUGCUCCAAAAAAUAAAUAAAUUUUAUUACAAAGAAGAAUAUAUAUAAGACCAGGGCUACAAGUAGGGGUGUCAAAUAUCGCCUACAAAAGCGAUGACUCGCCAAAAUUUUUAAGGAUUGAGUACAAGAUAAUUCCAUAUUUGGUUAAUUUUAGACCAAUUUAGUAUAAUCCAUUUUGAAAAUGAUCUUCAAUUUAGCUUUACAUUAGUGGCCGGUUAUAGCUUUGAUUUAUUCUAUUUGUUUUUCUAUAUAUAAGUCAUGGUUUGAGUUUUAGAAGUCUAGUCCCAAGUCAAGGUCCGGUCCGAAGUUAGGGUCAAAACCUAGGUUUUGGGUUCCGUGUCAAAGGCAUAUUGAGUUUUGGAUUCUGGGUCAAAGUUGGACCUCGGUGUUUGCAACAAAUUUUAAAGUGACAGAAAAUAAAUUGCAAAAAAAAUAAAAUGAAGAAACGUAAUUUUAUUCAUCAAGAUUGCAGGUGGAAUUUUGUUGAUCCCUUGAUUCUACUCUUCUAAGAUUUAUGCAUAUUUAAGGACCGUUAAUGGUGUAUUUCUCGAAUUAGGAUGAUUUGUUAAUUGAGUGUUCUAUAUUAAUUUUAUAUAAUCAAGACGAGGUUAAUGGGUGCUCGAUCACCCGGAGGACUCUACGUGGGUCCGCCCCGUGAUGAAGAGUCUGGACACAAAGGUCUUGAUACUAUAUAUCUUGAUGUGAAAAACUUAAAAAAUGACUACAAUGAACAAAAAUCUCAUUCAUGAACUUAAAUGACGUGCAACUUACUUUUGUUUGCUAAUUUUAGAAAUUAUAAUGAUGACAGAUAAUUUGUAGAUUAGUGCUGGAGAAAACAACAUGAAUACUAUAUUAUCUUAUUUCCUUAUGUAUUUGAUUGUUAUUACUCCCUCUAUUGGGCAUGGAGUUUAAAAAAAUACAAAAAGAUUUUUUAAGUUUGUAGUCUGAAAUAAGUCAUAUAUAUUUAAGUACUUAAAAUUAUUAUCUAGGGUGAAAUUAAUAUUUUGAAUCUAUAUUGUUACUAAAUAUAUAAAAAAAAAUUGUCAUUGUGGUUUAAAAAAAAAAGAAAUAAGUGUCAACAAUACAUCUAAACUAUCACAUUUUUUUGAGCUUCAUACCUAAAUAACUAAACUAUUGGAAGUGUAUAAUACACUCUCUGUUUUAUUGGUAAACUUUUGCCACAUGAAUAAAUUAUUUCAUCUUGACAAAAAUAAAAUAAGUCAUUAAUAUUAAUUGUCAUUUUAUUGGGACAAAUUGAAAAGAAAAGUAAGUCACAGUUAUACAAACAAAUUAAAAUAAAGAAAGUAAUAAUUUAUAAGGACCACCAUUAUAUUAUAUUGAAUAACCAUCCAUCACUAAUAACUGUCACCACCCAAAUUGCGUAUACCCGAACCACACGCAAACUAGACUAUCGUUAAAAUAUAUUCUUUAAAAGGAUUUCUUGUAGCCAAUGUUUGACAUUUAUGUAAUGACUAUUCACAUGUGAUGGCAAUGUUAUCACAUCAUGUAAUCACAUAUUAGUACCCAUCUCUUUUUCAAAUGCUUCAUUAAAAGUCAUAAUUGAGGUUCUAUUUUGUAUUUAAAUAAAAGAUGGUUAAAUUGUAUACAAAAGUCAAAAUUUAGGUUAGGUUAUACCCAAAAUAAACAGUUUAUUUUUUUUAUUCAAAAGCUAAAGAUUUAAUGCUACUAUGUAAUCGUGGCAUGGCAAUUAAUUCAUUAUUUAAAAAAACAUAAAAAUAUUCAAUAGUAACGGUUACACUCGCCACUCGUUAAAAAAUCAUAUGAUAUAUUUGAGGUAUUUUUUUUAGUAUAUGUAUCUAUAAAGUUUAAAUUUUUUAAUUAAACAUAAAAUUAGUUAUUGACUUAAUAAUUUUGAAAUUUGAAUCAUCUAUACCAUGUUAUGUAUAGUGCAAGGCCUAAUUUUGGACGAAGUAUUUUUGGAAAAUCAUUUGCCACAGGGACCAUGUUAUGUAUAGUACAAGGCCUAAUUUUAUUUGGUUGUCAUCCUUUUAGAUUUCACGCUACUUUAGAAAUUAUACAAGUUUAUCAUUAUACUCUUAUUUAGUAUUUUCUUAAAGUCAAGUUUUCAAUCAAUGAACAUAAAUUAAUUUAUUUUGAUUAAUUAAUUUGACCAAUAUACAAGAAUUAUUUACUUAAUUUUUCUAUGUUGGUCAAAUGUAUAUUUUUAAGACAAAUAACUCUCAAAGGUAAAAUGGAAAAAUAAUAUUAUUUAUGCAUUGUUUUUGUGAAAUGCCCUAUAUCCCAAUUUAUGUGACUUACUUUCUUUUUUCGUCUGUUCCAGAAAGAAUGACACAUUUCUAUAUUAAGUAACAAUUUAAUUAUAUAAUGUUUAUUUUACCCUUAAUGAAAUGAUUUACAGUCACACAAAUUUCUAUAAUUUAUUUUAAACCACAAGUUUUAAAAGUCUUCAUUUUUUUCUUAAACUCCGUGUCGAGUCAAACUAACUCAUAUAAAAUGGAAUGGAAGGACUAAGAAACAUUUAUUUUUAAUAAAGACGACUUGUAAAUAUGAACUAGGGAGUAUUAUCAUAUCUCUUUAUGUUUGUAUUUGAUUGCGCAAAUUUGAGAAAGCACAAAAUCAGCUCACUCGAUUUAGCUUAGCUUUAGUUAUUUUAUUUUAUUUGUCAACAAAAAGCUUUAGUAAUUAUCACUUAAAACUAUUUUUUUUAGGGGGGAGGAGGGGGGUGGGAUUGUCAUAUAUUUAUUAAAAAUUCAGAAAAUAAUUUAUCAGUAAUUAUAUAUUAGCCAAUAUGCAUCAUCCUCAAUCGGCAUAUUCCACGAUCACCAUAAAAUUUUCAAAAAUCAUUUUGUUAAUAUAUGUAUUUGAUUAAUUUAGUAUUUUUAUUGAAUUUAAUUUUAUUAAUUUUAAAUAAAGAAAACUUUUUUAUAUUCAAAAUGUUUAAAAAAUAAAUAGUCUGAAUCAUUUAGUAUUCAAAUCUUAAUACAAUAUUUUACAACAUAAUAAGAAUUUGAAUAUGUAUUCAGAUUCAAAUAUUUAAAUCUUAAUGCACAUCAUAUUUAUUCGAAAUGUCAUGAUAUUAACAAUGAACUCAUAUCAAUGUUAUUUAUUUCUGUUUUAAUCCUUUUUCAUUCAAAUCAAAGGAUUUACUUACGUACGUACCAUUAAUGCAACUACUAAUUAAUUCCUUGAAUCAUCUUCAUUGGUGAUUAAUUCUCAUGGCUUCCACAUAUGAUUUCCCAACAAGUUCACGGUUGAGAUAUCCUCUAUAAAAUUCAGUGGCUCCCAUUGUUUUGAAUUUUGGUGGAUUAUGAGCUGUAACAAGGCUACUUGCUGGACCUAAUAUAACGUCCAAUCUUGAACUCUGAAAUGUUGCAACUGAAAUCCUUUCUUUUGCUGAGCUCACCAUUGAUCUAUGCUCUAUACUUUUGUAAAUUCCAUUUGAGAAAAUCUGGUAAAAAAAAAUAAAGAAAUAUAUAUAAGAACGGGGCUACAAAGUCAAGUCAGGGUCGGGAUAAGAGUUUUGGGUCAGAGUCAGGUUUUGAGUCCCGCAUCAAGGUAGCGGUAAUGUUUUGAGUCAAAGUCAGGUCUCGAAUCUCGGAUCAGAGUCGAGGUCAUCUCAAGUCAGGGUCGAGUCUUGGAUUUUGGGUCCAAGUUGAGUCUCUAGUUAGUAUCUAGUCUAGGAUCUCGUGUCCAGGGUUGGGGUUGGGUCUCAGUCAAACUUAGGUCCCAAGUCUCGGGUCAGGGUCAAGGUCAUCAUGAGUCGAGGUCGCGUCUCGGGUUUUAGGUCAAAGUUGAGUCUAGGGACUCGAUAAAAGUUAGGUCUUAAGUCUUAAGUUGGGUUUAGAGUCUUAUGUCUUGAGUUGGGGUUAAUGUUAAGUCUCGAGUCUUGGGUUGUGGUCGGUUUUGAGAUCUCCUGUCUUGGGUCGGGUUAGUUCUCGAGUCCAAGCUAGGGUUGGAUCUCAUAUUUCUAGUCAAAUUUGAGGGUCGAUCUUAGGGCUUGAGUCCUAGAUCAAAAUCAAGUCUCGAUUCGGGUCUAAGGUUAGGGUUGGGGUCAGGUCCUCAGCUAGGGUUUGAGACUCGAGUCUCGAAUUCUUAGUCAAAGUUGGGUCUUGGAUCGAGGGUCGAAUCUCGGGUCAUUAUCGAAUCUCAGGUAUCAAGUUAGGGUCGAGUCUCUGAUCUAGGGUCUAGAGUGACGGGUCAAAGUCGAGGGUUGAGUCUCAUGUCUCAGGUUUCUAAGUUAAGGUCAGGUCAGAUCUUGGAUCUCAAAUUUCCAAAUGUGUAUAUAUUCAAAAUUCAAUAUUCAGUCAAAUAUGAUCACAUAAAUUAAAACUAUAGAGAAAAGAAUAAUAGAUAAAGAGAAGAGAAUGAGGGAAAUACCUCAAAAGUAUCUCCAGACUAUGAAGGCGUUAGGGAAGGGUAAAAUGGGAAUCCAAAUUCCAUCCUUUUUAACUUGAAGAAGGAUUGUUAAGGCAGAGGGAUCAGAAUGAGGGCAAAGUCCCAUCACUUUGUCUGGUUGUGGACAUGGUGGAUAGUAAUUCAUCCUCAUUGAUUGCAUCCCUUCUUCAAAAAGACUCUUCACUUCUUUUUCUUUAAUCCCCAAAGCUUUACCCAACAUUUCCAAAACUUUCAUGCUUAGCUCCUUUAUUUCUUCCGUGUACUCUUCAAUCGUCUCUCUACAUAAUAAGUUAUUCUCUUACUUAUUUUCCAGUGUUUAAUACAGAAGGGCGCGAAUAGCGUUAAUUACGUACCUAAGUGAAAGGUAUAGCUUGGAAAAUAUAGGCAUCCGCAAAUGUGGAGGUGCGGUCUUCAAAUAAAAAAGGUCUGCCCAGUCAAGUUUUUGUUCAUCAGAGACAGCGAACAGCUGUCCAAAUCCAUCUGCAUCGCGUGGUGAUCGUUCAAAUUUCUUCUUCUCUUCUAAUGGAAGAUCGUAGAACUUUUGAGUCUCGUGUUUCAUCUUCUCCACCACGGAAUGUCUCGUGUUUCAUCUUUUCCACCACGGAAGAACUAACUCCAUGAUUAAUCAACUGAAACAUGUGGAAAGUUAGAAUUAAGGAGUUGUCAAAAGACGACAAAAGAUUUUAUUUUUUUAAAAAUGAACUAAAAGGAAAGUAAGACAAACAAGCUACGUCACCUGAAAGAAACCCCAGUGUUGAGCUGCAAAAUGCAACUUGUUAAGCUCGAGAUUCAUGAUGUCAUGAUCAUUAGAAUUGGCCAAUCGUUGCAUGUCAAUGACUGGAACUUCCUUAUUAUUACGAUCAUUUGAUGCGAUUGAUGAACUGUCAUGAUCAUCACGUACAUAUCGCGAUGGAAUCGUCACGAGUUUCUUCUUGGCCAGCUCCUGGACAGAAGGAACUUUCUUGUAAUUAACUUCUAGUUCUCCCAUUUAUGUUUAAGGGCAUUCUAUGGCAAGAUAGUGUUGAUAUAUGUAAUAAUAAUUCUGCGAUCACUUGUGUCCACAUUAACAUUCUAUGAUAAUUUCUCAAUUUGAUUAUUAUAGAAAGAUCUAAUUAUUGAAUAAUUGCGUGUGAGGGUUAACAAAACCUAAUUAGCUUGUGAAACUUGUGCAAAACUGACCUCUAUAUCAAAUAGGGGGCAAAAUUAGUACUCCUUCCGUUCCUUUUUGAAACUUGUGCUCUAAAAUAAGUGAUGCAUGUUUAUGUGGUUAUAAAUUAUUUUAUUAAGGGUAAAAUGAAAAUUUUAAAGUUAAAUUGUUACUAAAUAUAGAAAUAUGUCAUUUUAUUGGGACAAAUUGAAAAGAAAAGUAAGUCACAGUUAUACAAACAAAUUAAAAUAAAGAAAGUAAUAAUUUAUAAGGACCACCAUUAUAUUAUAUUGUAUAACCAUCCAUCAAUAAUAAAUGUCACCACCUAAAUUGCGUAUAAACGAACCACACGCAAACUAGACUAUCGUUAAAAAUAUAUUUAUUUUAAAAAGGAUUUCUUGUAGCCAAUGUUUGACAUUUAUGUAAUGACUAUUCACAUGUGAUGGCAAUGUUAUCACAUCGUGUAAUCACAUAUUAGUACCCAUCUCUUUUUCAAAUGCUUCAUUAAAGUCAUAAUUGAGGUUCUAUUUUGUAUUUAAAUCAUUUGCCACAGGGACCAUGUUAAGUAUAGUACAAGGCCUAAUUUUCCACCACAAUCAAAUAAUGUUAUGCCGAUAAGCUUGUACGUUACUACUGAAAACACAUGUCAUCUAUAUGUGACUACACUUUUUGGCUGUGAAUCAAUGGAAUAUUUUAUUUGAUCAAGCAGUGGCGAAUCUAGAAUUUUAUGGUUAUGGAUGCUCUGAAAGUGGUGGAGUCAAAAAUAUAAAAAAGACAUGUUCACGGUGAGAUUCAAACUCAGGAUUAACAACACUACAAGAGCCUUAAGUACCCACCUAGGAGCUAAUGGACUAAUUAGACCAAUUGUUCAUUGAGUGCUCUGUGUAAGUUUAUAUAAAUCCUUCUUAAUUUGUACACACACACAUAUAUAUAUAUUUCGAGAUAAGGUUAAGGGUUGUUCGAGCACCCGAAGGACUCUAUGCGGGUCCCCCCUGUGAUCAAAGUCUGGACACAAAGGUUUUGAUACUAUGUUGAAUUCUUGAUGUGAAACUUCGAAAAUGGCUAUUAUGAAUAGAAAUCUCGGAGCUCCAAUGUGGGCUCUAAACACCGUGUGGGAAACAAAAAAAAUAGAAAUCUCAUUAAGAAAAUAUGAAAAGAUUUUUUAAGUUUGUAGUCUGAAUAAGUCAUAAUAUGUUUAAGUAGUUAAAAUUAUUAUCUAGAGUGAAAUUAAUAUUUUGAAUUUAUAUUGUUACUAAAUAUAAAAAAAAUUGUCACUCUGUUUUUUUUUAAAAACGAGAUAAGUGUUAACAAUACAUCUAAAACAUCACAUUUUUUUUAGUUUCAUACCUAAUAACUAAAUUAUUGGAAGUGUAAUAUACUGUCUGUUUUAUUGGUAAAAUUUUGCCACAUGAAUAAAAUAUUUCAGCUUGACAAAAAUAAAAUAAGUCAUUAAUAUUAACUAAAAGUUAAAGAUUAAAGUAUUACUAUCCAUGAAAAAAAACAUUUUUUUAAAAAAAUAAUUAUCUUUUAAAAGAUAAAAUUUAAAAUAUUUUUCUCAUUCCCACCCCCACCCAAGCCAUGACAAUCCCCCAUCCUUUUAUUAUUUAAAUUUCUUUAAUAAAAAUAUUUUUAAAAAAAUCCAGACUUCACCCCCUUCCCAACUCCUUCCAAAAAAAAUUGAUACUCCCUCCGUCCCAUUUUAUAUGUCAUCCCUUUCUAUAAAUAGUUGCUCCAUAAUACUUGUCAUUUCAUAAAAUCAAUGCAUAAAUUACCAUAUUGUUCCUUUUUUACCCUUGUGAAUUAUUAGCCUUGAAAAUAUACAUUUGCCCAACUUAGAAAAGUUAAAUAAAUGAUUCAUGUUCAUUGGUUAAAUUAAUUAAUCAAAAUAAAUUAAUUCAUAUUCAUUGAUUGAAAACUUGAGUUCCAAAAAAAUUAAAUGAGGGUAGAAGGGUAAAGUUACAUCAUUUCUUAAUGCAAGUGCAAAGUAAAAAUGUGACAUAUAAAAUGGGACGGAUGUGUUGGGUUAUGAAGGGUGAAUAGGGCGUCACGCGGAAGCUUAUAAUUUGCAAAUCAUAUGGUUGAUAUAUCAGAUGACAAAAACUUAUACUAAAAAUCAAAAUAUUAUUAUAUCAAAACUAAUUUUAAAGAAAAACAUUGAAACUUUAGAGAGAAUAAAUCUCCCCAUAAACAAGACUCUUAAACGUCUACAUUGUGGAUGUUAUUGUUAUUGUGUUAGAAGAAACAAACCUAUAUUUAUAGAGUCCUAAAACCUUUCCUACUAGAAAAGGAGUCCUAAAAGGAGAGAAUAAAUCAAAUAUAAAAUAAUAUUAUAUUUUCCUUUCAAGAAAAGUAAAAACAUUUAUGGUAAUGUUUUUUUUUUCUUUAAGGAAAAAUAAAUCUUAAACUAUGGUAAGAAAAUCAAGGCAAAACCCUAACAGGAUGGAGUAUUAAUGUUAUAAUUUUUUUAAAAAAUAAAUUCUACCACACACCAUCUAAGCUUCUCUUCCUAUUAUUUUUUUUACAUUUUUCUCGUUUUGUAUUGAAUAUGUACAUAUAUUUUUAGGAAAAUAUUAUAUAUAACACAAAACGAGUAAAAAAUUGAAAGCGUAGGGUUAGGUGGGGUGAGGUACAAUUAUUUUUUCUUUAAAAAAUAAAAUAAUAUCUACAUUAUUAUUUGAAGGAUAGGGACAGAUGAAGUAAGAAUUUUUCAAAAAACUUUUAUAAAAGGAAUUUUUUUUAAAAAAAAAAACUAAAAAAGUUGGGGGGGGGGGGGGGUUAAAGGAAGUGGUGGAGUGGGGUGAGAAAUAUAUUUUACAUUUUAUUUUUAUAAUUUUUUUUUGGAUAGUUAUACUUUUAUUUUUAACUUUAACUAAUACUAAUAAUUUUUUUUUUGUUAAGGUGGAAUGUAAUUUUGUCCAUUAUUUUAACUAAUACUAAUAAUUGUUUUUAUUUUUUGUUAAGAUAGAAUGCUUUGUCCAUGAUUUUUGAAAAUAAAAGAGAGGAUGUAGUACACACCAUGAUAAGAGUGUAAUAAAGAGAGAGAGAUGCGUUUCUCAAACUAAUAAGUGAUAACUUAUAUAGGAAACUCACAUUCUCAAUAAUUUAGUUAAAAAACUAUAUAUAAAAAAAAAAGAAUAGUUUAGAUGUGUUUUUUUGACACUUUUUUUAAAAUUAACUGGAAAAAAAUUGUAUCAUACAAAUUAGGACAAAAUAAAUAAUAUGCAUAUACAACCUAUAUAUUGUCCGUUUCGGCCCGACCCCUAUUUGGACUACUUCAAGGCCAAUGGGCUUUAACGUUUUGAACCAAACAAUCUUGAAAAUUGAUAUCAUAUUAAAGUAUAUGAUAAUUUUAUUUAAAAAGUUUAAACUUAAGCGUACACAAGCUCUUUUAAUUGAUAAAAGACAUUAUUUUCUGUUUUGUAUCAGAAAAGUCACUUGAUCUUUGCUAUUAUAUUAUUGAUCUAUUUAGUUGACGAACUUUUAAGCAAUAAACUCGUUAAUAAUAAAAUAUGUACGUACCUGGAAGAAACCCCAAUCUUUAGCUGCAAAGUGUAACUUGUUAAGCUCAAGAUUCAUGGAGUGAUGAUCAUUAGAGUUGAUCAAUAAAAAAAUUCGACUAGUGGUUUGGUUUGACUUGGUUUGGUAUUGAAAAAAAAACCCGACUAUAUUUGGGUUGGUUUGGUUUUAACUAAAGAAAAUCAACCCGACACCAAACCAACCCGACAUUAUAUAUGUAAUUUUAAAAUUUUAUUUUAUACAUAAAAAUAUUUACUUUGAUAUAAUUUAAAAAUAUUUCUUAUACUAUUUCAUACUUUUUAUCUUUUAAUAUAUUAUUUCAAGUUUAAAACUUAGAAUUCGAAAUGGUCCAAUGAAGAUUAUAGUUCAUAGAUGUUGAUAAUUAUAAUAAAAACUUAAACCAAAACCACAUUAAUACUAAUGCAAAAAGAAAAUCAAUUUAACACUACAAUAAUAUUGAAUAUUUGUUCUUUAGUUUUACAUUGGUUUAGACAAUUAAAAUACAUAAUCUAAUUUUAAUUUUCCUUAAAUAUUAGUAAUGUAACUAAUACUUAUUAAACUUAUUUUAGCAUGAUUUAGUACUUCUAAAUUAUGAUCAUUUUCAUUAUGACGUUGCAAUAUUUAUUUUAUAUGAUGAUUUCAUUAUUAUUUUUUAUUAAAUAUUUUAGUGUCAUCAGUACUCAUCUCAUAUUUUGUGUUAUUUUCUUAAGAAACACCUUAGAUAAUUGUAUUUUGGUUGGACUAAAGAAAUAUUUGGAGCACAAGUUAAUUGUAUGUUUGUAUGCAAACUUUACCGAAAAAAUCCGAAAAUCUGAAAAAAUCCGAGGUUUAUUAGUUUGGUUUGAUUUAUAAGUUUAAAAAUUCGACACGAUGGUUUGGUAUUUGAAAAACCCGAAAAAAUCCGAAUUUUAUUAGUUUGGUUUGGUUUAUAAAUUUAAAAUUUUUACACAAAUGGUUUGAUUUGAUAUUUGAAAACCCGAACCAACCCGGUCAUGUACACCCCUAAAUUAUAAGACGUUGCAUAUCAAUUAUUGGAACUUGCUUAUAAUUUGACAUUUUACGAGUCAGGCCGGGCUAGCCCAUUUUUGGUGUGGGCCAGAAAACGGUCGGCCCAACCCACAAGUACGUGGGCUACAAGCUUGCCAGGCCAGCCCACUUUUUUUAAAAUUAUGUUUUUUUUUAUAAUUAUUUAAACAAAUUAUAAAUUAUAAUUUAAAAAUAUUAUCAUAAAUAUCGACAAAACAAUAUUACAUCAUGUUAAUGUUACUCCCUGUUAAUCAAAUCCACAAAUAAAAUUAUCUUUUAUAAUAUUUAUUAAGGUUUUUUCAAAUAAAAAUAUAAAAAUCUAAAUAGAAAUAUUAACCUAAUUGUUUUGUCACAUUAAAACACAAAAAAUGUGACAAUAUUCCAACCAUAAAAAAGUUAAAAAUAAACUCCUUAAAAAAAUCAUGAAACUUAUGGCGUAUCUAACACAUCAUGAAAUCUAUGGCGUAUCCAACACUUCACGAUCAUCUUCAUCAAGCAUAUCUGAAUCAGCUUGUGGCAAGGUUGUCUUAACAUCUUCAUUUUCAUCUGUAAUUUAUAUGCGGUUUCCAUUAGUUAAAUAUUAAAUAGAUUUUGAGUUUGGAUUCUCUUUAAUUUUAAAUUUUAAUAUUAUAUUAAAUUUUUUUAAUUAUUUUUAUUUGGCCCACGGGCCGGCCCUACCUAUAUUUCGCAAGCCCCACAAAUCAGCAGACUUAUUCAGGCCGGGCUAAAAAACCCUUUUCUUAAAUGAGCUCCAAAAAUCUUAGCCUUGCCCUAUUAAAUCCCGAGUUAGGCCAGGCCGGCCCAACAGGCCUAGCCCAUAUUGACGGCUCUACAUAUCAAUUAUUGGAACUUGCUUAUAAUUUGAUGUUGCAAUUGAACGGUCUUGAUCAUCACGUACGUAUCGCGAUGGAAUCGUCACGAGUUUCUUCUUGGCUAGUUCCUCGACAGAAGGAACUUCCAUGUACUGAACUUCUAUUUCUCCCAUAUUUGUUUAU